UAUGCAAAGCAUGUGUAUCUUUUCAUUAAUAGAAGAAGAGAGAAUGAAUACAAAUAAGGUACAACACAUCCACGAACGCAAGGCGUGAACAUGGCGCCCAAAAAUAGAAAAGAGAGACAAAGUGCUUGGCCCGAACAAGCAAACGACACAGCUAAGCCCACUAACUAGAGAGGCAAGUCCAAACCAACAUGAAGUCAGACAGCCACGAAUCAGCACCGGGGACGCCGCGAGCACACAAGACAACGCCUACAGGAAGGUAAACAACGCCGUGAUGCCAUCAUCGUCCGAUCUGAAGAAUCAGACCUAGGGUUUCCCCUAGUGCUCUCGAUCUGAAGAAUCAGACCUAGGGUUUCCCCUAGUGCUCGAAGAUGGGCACGGAGAGAGGCCAUGACAACGUCUUCAGGGAGGGGACGGCACUCGCGAGUGUUGCCGUUGCCAGCAUCGGCAAGCCGAGCAGGGAUUUCUCCCUGGCCUAUAUUUGAGCAAUCCCAAAGCUACCGUACCGGAACCGGGAGUCGGAAGGCACACGUAGAUCGAAGAACCACCAUCACCAGAGGGGAGCCACGCUGGACACGCGAACCUUGGACAUGACGAGGGGUGGGGCAGCGAGGUGGCCGGGGUUGGGGUAGUUGGCAGGGCAAAGGGGGCCGAUGCAGGGGACGCGACGGCACCCGACGACGCCGACAAGCCAGGAACUGGAGGAGACGCAGAUCCGGGUCGCCGGGACCGAGGCCGUCAAGACACCGGCAAGCUAUAGAGGCUGGAGGAGACGCAGCCUCACUAGCGCCGGGGCCGGCGUCGCGCUGGAAGAGGCACCGACAACCCAAGGACACUGGAAAACGCAGGUCGAGGGCCGCCGGGUCCGGAGCAACACCAGCGAGGGUUCCAACGCAAGGGCACGAGCGCCCGCAGAACACCAGCAGGCACGCCGCAAGGGCCGGCCGACGCUGGGGAGGCACCACCGGAUGCACACCAAAAAGCCGCACCUUGAAGCCAUGGCAGCGGCUCGGAAGGAGAAGAGCGCCGUCGCGGGCACCGCAAGGACUGCCCGACACCAGCAAAGGAGCACGCCAUCCCCAAUCCCGGGUCCGGCGCCGUCAGCAGAGAGGAUGCCGGCGGCAGGACAGACAGAUCUGACGCGGAGACGGGGGAAGGCGGAGGCACCUUGCCGGCGGCAGGAGCUCGCAGCGGCCGGUGGAAGGGAGGUCAGGCGGGGGCUGGGGUGUACGAGGCCGCCGGGGACGUGCUGGCGCAGGGCACGGCUGGCAGAGGGCGGCCGGCAGGGGAGCCGAAGCUUGACGAGGCGCCCCGCCGAGCAGUGCGUCAGAUCCGCCCGGCCGCCGCCAUCCUGGGGUCCGGCGCGGCUUCGCCGGCCGACCCUCCGACGACGGCGAGCGGGAGAGGGCGGCGGGGAGGGGGGCUGCUGGGCGGCGGCUGGUUCCCCCGUGUCGCCCGGGGAGGAGGGCGACGCGGGGGUCAGGGAGGGCGAUUGUUUUUAGACUCCUAC
Molecule: ribosomal RNA, 1507 nt
Filed under: Triticum aestivum (bread wheat)
Lineage: Eukaryota; Viridiplantae; Streptophyta; Magnoliopsida; Poales; Poaceae
Description: partial small subunit ribosomal RNA
Source: RNAcentral